AAUCUGAAACCUUUGAGAAAAGAUUGAAGAUUGAAGAAAAGAUUGAAGGAGAAAAAUGAGUUAUUUUCAUUAAGUGAGAACUGUACUCAGCUCUCUUGAUUUAUACAACGAGAGAAUUGACACCUGUCAAUUCUUUAAUGAUUAAUGACUAACGGCUAUUUCUGUUAUUUCAGCUAACAGAAUUGUUGACUGUACAACCACUAACUUAUUUACUAACAAACUAACUUCCUAUUUAACAAACUUAAAUUAACAAACUUUAACAGAUUUGUUUAAUUAAAGCCUCUUGCUUCUAAGCUUGAUUUUGAUGCUCUGUUACCCCCCCUCAAGCUGGAGUAUAUAUAUCAUGUAUACCCAGCUUGUUGAGAAGGUUCUGAAAAGAAGAGGUAGGAAGAGGUUUUGUAAAGAAGUCAGCCAAUUGUUGAUCUCCUGAGAUUGGAAAGAGAUGUACCAGUCCUGAUUGAAUCUUCUGUCUGACUAUGUGGCAAUCUAUUUCGAUAUGUUUGGUUCUUUCAUGAAAAACUGGGUUGUGAGCUAUGUAGCAUGCAGACUGAUUAUCACAAUAGAGUUUUGCUGGAGAUGUCUGUUCUUCUUGAAGAUCUUUCAGUAAGAAAGUUAUCCAUUGAAGCUCACAGACAGUGUUGGCUAAAGCUCUGUACUCUGCUUCUGAGCUUGAUUUUGAUACUGUCACCUGCUUUUUUGUUUUCCAUGAUACUAAAGCUUCUCCAAGAAAAACACAUAAACCAGUAAUGGAUUUCCUGGUAUCUGAACAUGUGGCCCAAUCUGAAUCUGAGAAGGCUCUUAGAGAUAGACUGUUCUUAGAUGGAAAGAAAAUACCUUGUCCUGGUGAUUUCUUAAGAUACCUUAAUAUUCUGGAUAUUGCUUGAAAGUGUAUCUCAGUUGGACAGUCUAAGUACUGAGAAAGUUGCUGGACAGGAAAGCAUAUAUCUGGUCUUGUACUGCAGAGAUAAAUUAGUUUUCCAACUAAUCUUCUAUAAGCUGUUAUGUCUUUAUAAGCUUCAGAACCACCCUCCUUAAUUAGCCUGGUUAAUGCAGUCAUUGGAGUUGCAGAUGGUUUGGAUCCCAAAAAACCAGUUUCUGUGAGAAGAUCCAUUGUAUAUUUUCUUUGACACAAGUUAAUUCCAGAUUUAGACCUUGCUACUUCAAGUCCUAGAAAGAACUUCAAUGAUCCUAAGUCCUUGAUUUUGAACACAUUAUCCAGAAAAGUCUUGAUACUAUCAAUCUGACUUUGAUCAUUACCAGCCAGAAUCACAUCAUCCACAUAUACCAAUAAAGCUGUGAAUGAUUGAUUUUGCUUCUUUAAGAAGAGAGAGGAAUCUGAGGCUGCUUGAACAAAACCUUGUGAAACUAAAGCCUCUGUUAACUUCAAAUUCCACUGUCUGCUUGCCUGUUUCAAUCCAUAAAGGGACUUUGUUAAUUUACAGACUUGAUUUGAGUUAGAUAUAGACAAACCUGGUGGAAUCUCCAUAUAAACUUCUUCAUGUAACUCUCCAUGCAAAAAUGCAUUGUUGAUAUCCAGUUGACUUAAAAUCCACCCUUUUGCAGCAGCUAAAGCUAACAAAACUCUGAUUGUUGUCAUCUUUGCCACAGGAGAAAAGGUGUCUGUAUAAUCCACCCCAUUCUGCUGAGUGUAUCCCUUGGCAACUAACCUUGCCUUGUACCUUUCAAUAGUCCCAUUACUAUGAUAUUUUAUUUUAAAAACCCAUUUACAGCCAAUAGGAACUUUAUUUGCAGGUAAAUCAGUUAAUAUCCAGGUUUUAUUUAGUUCAAGAGCAUCAAGCUCUUUCUGCAUAGCUUCUUUCCAACAAACAUGUUUAAUAGCUUGACUAUAUGUUUUUGGUUCUACUGUACUAUCAACACUGGUUGAAAAAGCUUUAUGAGAUGUAUUCAAUUUAUCAUAAGACAAAACUUGAGAAAUUAGAUGAGGUGUAGUCCUAGAUUUUUGACAUACAUAGUCUUUUAGAUGAACAGGUUCAGUAACCUUCCUAUGUGAUCUUCUAAUAGGUUCUAUAGUCUGUUUACUAGUUCUUGUAUCUAACAAAGGUUCAACCUGAUCACUUAUAUUCAUAACAGACUCAUGAUGCAUUUGAACAUUUAAAUUGUCAUUAUCAUGCAUAUUUAUAUUCAUGACAGGCUCAGAAUGUAAAUUGUUAGGCAUAGCAUAUGGCAAAUGAUAAUCUAUAUCAGGUACUUCAAUAGCAGCAGGCAAAACAACAGAAGUAUUGGACAAUAUAGACAGGUUUUUAUAAGGAAACAAACAUUCAUAAAACUUCACAUCUCUUGAUACAAAAACCUGUUUAGAUUGUAAAUCAUAAAGUCUAUAUCCUUUUGUAUUUUCAGGAUAACCAAGGAAAACACACUCAAUUGCUCUUGGUGUAAAUUUAUGCCUGUUAUGAGAGAUGGUGUCCUAUUGAUAAGAAAAGUUGCAUGAGAAACACAGUCAGACCAAAAACAUAAAGGAAUAGAAGAUUGAAAUUUUAAAGCUCUUGCUACAUUUAAUAUAUGCUGAUGUUUUCUUUCUACAAUUGCAUUUUGCUCAGGAGUAUACACACAAGUAGUUUGAUGUAUAAUACCUUUAGAAUCAUAAAAACUGGGCAUAUUAAACUCU
This is a long non-coding RNA of Mercurialis annua (annual mercury), 2626 nucleotides long. RefSeq lists it as uncharacterized. The transcript is spliced from 2 exons. The record is from RefSeq and is a predicted model, not a curated record. NCBI's taxonomy places the organism in Eukaryota, Viridiplantae, Streptophyta, Magnoliopsida, Malpighiales, Euphorbiaceae.